Molecule: long non-coding RNA, 3361 nt
Filed under: Coffea arabica (coffee)
Lineage: Eukaryota; Viridiplantae; Streptophyta; Magnoliopsida; Gentianales; Rubiaceae
Description: long non-coding RNA (CARA_LNC001715)
Source: RNAcentral
AGAAUUCACAGCUCUUCACUUUUUCUUCUGCAACCACAUUCAACCUUUGAUGGAUAGGAGGGGUAGGAAGCAGAGGCAUACAAUCUUUCCCAAUUCUUUCUUCUUCCAUUGAAUUCUUCUCCUUAUUUAUCAUCAUGCUUGACUUUUCAAAUUUUUGAUCCAUUCCAAGAACCAUUGAGUCCAUCCUUUUGUCUCUUUCCAUCAUUUCUUCUCGUACCUGUAGUUGCAGUUUUCUUACAUCUUUCAUGACUUUGUGCAGCUUGAUUUCUUGCCUCUUGAGAUGGACUUCUAGUGUCUUAAAACAGGUACUUUUUGCCACUGUAGUUUCAAGAGCUGCUGAGGAAGAAAUAUGUUACAUUUCACUACCAAAUAUUUCAAUCGGUGAUCUAGGUAUGAAUUCUAUACAAAAUUCUAGGGAAGGGAUGAGAAAAUAUGAUGAAGUCAUGUUAAAUUGUCAAUUACUGGAUAAUAAAUGAAACUCAUGGAAUUUGUAUACGAGAAAAUGUUGAUAUUGAGUCUCAAGACCUGCAAUUGAUGGAAGGAAAAAAUAAUAUGCAAGAUAAAGUAGAUGUACCUAGUAUAUUGCAGCAGUGGUCUAUUGUUGAAAAGAAUUGGGUAAAUUACAUUUUACCCCCCUGUGAUUUACCCUUUUUUUACAUAACCCCCAUAUGGUUUCAAAAGCUAUACAUAACCCCCUCAUGGUUUGGAUUAAAGUGUCAAAGUAACGGAAAUAGUCACUCGUAACGGAAUUUCUAAAAAUGUCGAAAUUACCCUUAUAAAUACAUGACACAUUAACCCCGUAUGAUUUUUAUAUUUUACCAUAUAACCCCCUUAUGGUUUAAUACUUUACCAUAUAAUCCCCUUAUGAUUUUCAAAAUAUACACAUAACGCCCCUUGGUUAAUACAUAAAUUUCAACUUUACAUAAGGGUAUUUUUGACAUUUUAGGUGACGCCGUUAUGAAUUAUCAUUCCCGUCACUUUGACACUUUAAUCCAAAUCAUAAGGGGGUUAUAUAUAGCUUUUGAAAUCAUAGGGGGGUUACGUGAAAAAAUGCUAAACCACAGGGGGAUAAAGUAGAAUUUGCCCAAAAGAAUAAGAAAGGGUUUGAAGAACUCAGAUCAUUGAUGUUAUUAGGAGGUCUUGGAUUGGCAGAGUCUUGUGUAGUUACUUUCUCAAAGAUAGAGACCCAAUUUGUGCUACAAUUCUUUAAACUAAGAGACUUCAUGGAGGUUUUUAUAGGUUCUCUCCUUCAAGAGUAUUUGGCUGGAAUUAUCAGUAAGGAGUCCAAAAUUGUAAUGAAACCAUGGUCUCAAAUAGCCACUGGCUUCAAAUGUGGCACUGGUGUUGGAGAAGACUACAAAUUCUCAAACCAAAUUUUAUCAAGCAAGAUUCUUCAAGCCGCAAUUUGGGAUAUGAAUAUGAUAAUGCUUCAUAUUCCCUUAGCAAGAUCUAGAAACAAUUUGAGCCUUUUCUCUGUUGAGAACUUUGAUGAGGUGUUAGUUAAUUUGGAAGUGUAGGAAACCUGAUAUUCAAUUUUGGAAGUGAAGGAAGAACUGUGAUGCAAUUUUCUCAACCAUGUUUUCUGACAACUUAGCUAAUCUUAGUCAAGUCUCCAAGAAAUUUUUCACAGAGCAUGAUGGUAAAUUUUCUCCAUGAAAGAGGUGUCGAAAUUACAUAGUUGAAGGUGCAUGUAUUCCUGUAUAAGUGGGAUCAAGAGACCAAUUGCAGGCAUGUAGUAGAAGCGAGAUGCCAUAUUACAAUAUUUCGGCUGAGGUUGAAUCUUAUGGAGGUAUUAGAUAAUCAAAUUGUGUGUCGCGCCCCAUUUUUCGUGAUGGAAAAAUAAGUAUAAAAAUAGGUAUUUACAAAAGAUGUGAUUUUAUUUUAAAAUAAAUGAAAAGGACCUAGAAUGGGACUUAAAAAAAAUGCGACAAUUUGGGUCCAAAAUUUAGUCUAAAAGGGUUUUUAAGAAAAAAAUAGGAGUCGCCACUUGGUAUUGAGUUUUGGUGUACCAAGUCACCCAAAAAUAUUUUUUGAUAAAAAUAAAAUAAAAUAAAACCCCUUUUUGACAACUCCAGGUUUUUGAAAAACAAAAGAAAAAGGGUUCGGGAGUUACGGUUGAAGAAAGGGAAGGCAAAUGUUCGAUUAACUCAAACCUAAGGCACCCUUUCAACCUAGUCUAAGCUAGUUGCGAGGUUUAGUCAAAAUUUUCCUAAUCUAACCCUUAAUUUUAUCAUGUUUGGAUGUUUCCUACAUGGAUGCAAAUCUAAAUAUCGAAAGGGACAAAAUGUUCAUUCAAGAGUUUAAUUUAACCAAUCGUAUUAAUUGCGAAGGCCAAAAUAAUUCCUUGAAAGUGUCACGAGUAUGUAAAUGAUUAAAGUAAAAGAAAAGAAAAGAAAUUAAAUUAUAUACAUAGAUAUAAGUGAUCAAAGAAAAAGGGAAUGCAACAUAAAGGGUACGGGAGGCAAAAACUCGUGACAUGAUUUUCUUAUCCAGGGAUUAAUGGAACAUUUAAACUAAAAAGUUAUAAUCUCCCAUUUCCCAUGUUUGAAAAAUAAUUUUCCUAACAUGCACAAGCAAAUGAGCUAUCUUAUUAUACAAUGUCCUAAAUGAAAUGCAAUUCUAAAUGACAUGAUUAACACAUAUAGAGGAUAGGGGAUAAUAUAAUAGAAAAUAUCAUGCAAAUGGGAAAAGAUCCUAAAAAUGAAAAUAUGCGUGAAAAUGUAAUGAAUAUCACAUAAAAAUGAGUCUAACGCACGAACGAUCUAAGAGUCUAGCAUUGGACUAGUCCAUUUCUAAAAAUCCUUACUAGCGUUGGACUAGCAAAUAAGCAGAGGGGAAAAGCCACAACUAGCAUUGGAGUAGUGUGGUGACGUCAUGCAUUUUUAAUACAUAAUAAGACAAGUAGGCAUAAAUUAAAACAAAUAGACACAUAAGAGCACGUAGCACGUAACACAUAAGCAUAAUAUCUAGAUGCAAAAAUUCUAAGGAAAGCGGGUAAGACACGUAACACAUAAGCCACAUAAACACACAACCUACCUAUUACAUCGGGGAGCGCCUAACUACAAUCUAAAAGGGGAAAUAAAAUAAAACAAAUCUAAUUAUCCUAUCUAUUACAUUUUUGAGGUAUUUAAAUGCCUAUCAAAUAAUUAUAAAAUUAACUAAGCAAACGUAAGAAAAUUUAAAUGAACAUUCAAAUCAAAUAAACAAAAUAUAUAAAAAAUAUAUAAACACAUAGGAACACGUAGGAGCACAUAGGAGCACGUAAUUGACAUUGAAAUAAUAAUAGGGGUACCUCCCUUUUGAAGUGGUGACUAAAUGGAGUCAAAUUGCCCUAUUUAUACUCACAAUGAACAAAAGAAUC